Molecule: long non-coding RNA, 1321 nt
Filed under: Capra hircus (goat)
Lineage: Eukaryota; Metazoa; Chordata; Mammalia; Artiodactyla; Bovidae
Description: lncRNA (ENSCHIG00010027998.1)
Source: RNAcentral
UGAGAUCUUUCGGCACAAGACCCUAGGCUUUCCAUGACCUGACCCUAAUCCAGUCUUCCGAAUCCUUCUCUUGCCCUUCCUCCCAGUAAACCCUGCACUCUGGUUCAACAGAACUGUUCACUCUCCUACUUUUCAGAUCCUGUCUUUGCUUUUGUCAUUUGCCUUCCCCAGGGUUCCCUUGACCCUCAUAUUUCCCAUUAAAUAUCCCAUCUGUUAUUACUCCCUAAUUUGNNNNNNNNNNNNNNNNNNNNNNNNNNNNNNNNNNNNNNNNNNNNNACUUCUUUCCAACUUCCCUCUCUACGGUUUUCCCUAGCUAAGUCAAUCUAAGUUCAUCCCUCCAGUGACUCAGGCCAAAACCUUGUCUUCCUGUCACGUCUGACUCCAUAUCGUACCCCACAGCCAAUCCAUUAGUGAAUCUCACUGUCACUAUGUUCAAAACAUGGUAGAAUCUGACCUUUUCUCAUCGUUUCCCCUGUUCCACUCUGGUCCAAGCUAAAAUCAUCUCUCACCUCGAUUAAUAAUAAAAAUUGCUAAAUGACUCAGCAUAGAAAGUGGUUCUGCAAACCCUCCCUAAAAUACUCAUUUCUCAUUCCUCCUCACUGAAGAUAAUUUUCCCUGAGAAAGUCUUCAGAUUGUUAGUGAGUCACUUCCAGUCUUAUCUUUUUCUAGAAAGGUAUUGAUGCAGAUGACCCAGAAAAGAAAUAGGGGUGCAGAAGAGCUCUCCCAAAUCCCACAGUGGGGACUUGGAUUGCUACACAGAGUGGUUAUUCUUUGGCAGUUCACAGGAUUCUUAACGAGACCUGAAUUGCCCGUUUUUGCUCAGAACAAAAUAGUACUGUUCCACGAAGUGUGUUUAUUUUUCAUGUGGACACAAUGUGUAGAGUGGGCAUUCGCAUUUAUUUAAGGGCCAAAUGAGCUGAUCUUGGUAAUAUCACCCUUCCUGCCCAUACCUGAUCCUGGAACCCAGAUGAAAGCACAUGAAGGAAAGGUGUCUGGAGGCUUCUGCAAAAUCUUGCUUUNNNNNNNNNCAAGAGACACAGGAAGAUGGAAAUCUUUUCUUCCUCUCUGUCAGGGUUUCUCAGCCUGAGCACUGUUGACAUUUGGGGUCAUCUGUCAUGGGGACUGCCCUGUAUGUGAAGAAUGCUUAGCAGCAAUACUAGCCUCUACCCACUGGACGCCAGUAGCAUCUCUUCAGUUGUCAGAAUCAACAACAUCUCCAGACAUUGCCAAACACUGUCUCCUGUGGGUGGAUUACCCCAAGUUGGGAACCACUGCCCUAAACGUCAGAUUUAUUCCCAGACUGCCACAGGUUCUCUCAAUA